GAUGAACGCUAGCUACAGGCUUAACACAUGCAAGUCGAGGGGCAGCAUGGUCUCAGCUUGCUAAGGCUGAUGGCGACCGGCGCACGGGUGAGUAACACGUAUCCAACCUGCCGUCUACUCUUGGCCAGCCUUCUGAAAGGAAGAUUAAUCCAGGAUGGGAUCAUGAGUUCACAUGUCCGCAUGAUUAAAGGUAUUUUCCGGUAGACGAUGGGGAUGCGUUCCAUUAGAUAGUAGGCGGGGUAACGGCCCACCUAGUCAACGAUGGAUAGGGGUCCUGAGAGGAGGCUCCCCCACAUUGGAACUGAGACACGGUCCAAACUCCUACGGGAGGCAGCAGUGGGGAAUAUUGGUCAAUGGGCGAUGGCCUGAACCAGCCAAGUAGCGUGAAGGAUGACUGCCCUAUGGGUUGUAAACUUCUUUUAUAAAGGAAUAAAGUCGGGUAUGCAUACCCGUUUGCAUGUACUUUAUGAAUAAGGAUCGGCUAACUCCGUGCCAGCGCCGCGGUAA
RNAcentral lists this ribosomal RNA (507 nucleotides) under uncultured bacterium. Its description in RNAcentral is "partial 16S ribosomal RNA". It matches the Rfam family "Bacterial small subunit ribosomal RNA", at positions 28 to 523 of the family's 1533-position model. The record is from RNAcentral.